AGAGUUUGAUUAUGGCUCAGGACGAACGUUGGCGGUGCGCUUAAUGCAUGCAAGUCGAGGGAGAAGCAGUUGGUCCGUAAGGAUCGGCUGUGGAAACCGGCGAACGGGUGCGUAACACGUGAGAAACCUGCCCCGAAGACCGGGAUAGCCCGGGGAAACCCGGAUUAAUACCGGAUACCUUCACGGAACCACAUGGUUCUGUGAAGAAAUGGUCCGCCGCUUCGGGAUGGUCUCGCGGCCUAUCAGGUUGUUGGUGAGGUAACGGCUCACCAAGCCGAAGACGGGUAGCUGGUCUGAGAGGACGAUCAGCCACACUGGGACUGAGACACGGCCCAGACUCCUACGGGAGGCAGCAGCAGGGAAUAUUGCACAAUGGGCGAAAGCCUGAUGCAGCGACACCGCGUGCGGGAUGAAGGCCCUCGGGUUGUAAACCGCUUUCAGGAGGGAAGAAAAUGACGGUACCUCCAGAAGAAGCCCCGGCCAACUACGUGCCAGCAGCCGCGGUAACACGUAGGGGGCAAACGUUGUCCGGAUUUAUUGGGCGUAAAGGGCUCGUAGGCGGUUCAACAAGUCGAUCGUGAAAGCCCGGGGCUCAACCCCGGGAUGCCGGUCGAAACUGUUGUGACUAGGGUCCGGUAGAGGUCAUUGGAAUUCUCGGUGUAGCGGUGAAAUGCGCAGAUAUCGAGAGGAACACCAGUAGCGAA
RNAcentral lists this ribosomal RNA (704 nucleotides) under uncultured Actinomycetes bacterium. Its description in RNAcentral is "bacterial SSU rRNA". It matches the Rfam family "Bacterial small subunit ribosomal RNA", at positions 8 to 719 of the family's 1533-position model. The record is from RNAcentral. Lineage: Bacteria; Bacillati; Actinomycetota; Actinomycetes.